CCUACGGGAGGCAGCAGUGGGGAAUAUUGGACAAUGGGCGAAAGCCUGAUCCAGCCAUGCCGCGUGUGUGAAGAAGGCCUUCGGGUUGUAAAGCACUUUCAGUGGGGAAGAAAGCCUUGGGGCUAAUACCCUCGAGGAAGGACAUCACCCACAGAAGAAGCACCGGCUAACUCCGUGCCAGCAGCCGCGGUAAUACGGAGGGUGCGAGCGUUAAUCGGAAUUACUGGGCGUAAAGCGCGCGUAGGCGGUCUGAUAAGCCGGUUGUGAAAGCCCCGGGCUCAACCUGGGAACGGCAUCCGGAACUGUCAGGCUAGAGUGCAGGAGAGGAAGGUAGAAAUCCCGGUGUAGCGGUGAAAUGCGUAGAGAUCGGGAGGAAUACCAGUGGCGAAGGCGGCCUUCUGGACUGACACUGACGCUGAGGUGCGAAAGCGUGGGUAGCAAACAGGAUUAGAUACCCUGUAGUC
This 464-nucleotide ribosomal RNA is filed under the name Vreelandella stevensii. RNAcentral describes it as "partial 16S ribosomal RNA". It matches the Rfam family "Bacterial small subunit ribosomal RNA", at positions 338 to 795 of the family's 1533-position model. Lineage: Bacteria; Pseudomonadati; Pseudomonadota; Gammaproteobacteria; Oceanospirillales; Halomonadaceae. The record is from RNAcentral.